This 1444-nucleotide ribosomal RNA is filed under the name metagenome. RNAcentral describes it as "bacterial SSU rRNA". It matches the Rfam family "Bacterial small subunit ribosomal RNA". The record is from RNAcentral.
AGAGUUUGAUCCUGGCUCAGGAUGAACGCUGGCGGCGUGCUUAACACAUGCAAGUCGAACGAACCUUCGGGUUAGUGGCGGACGGGUGAGUAACGCGUGAGAAUCUGCCCUCAGGAGGGGGAUAACGGCUGGAAACGGCCGCUAAUACCCCAUAUGCCGAGAGGUGAAACGAGUUUUCGCCUGAGGAUGAGCUCGCGUCUGAUUAGCUAGUUGGUGGGGUAAGAGCCUACCAAGGCAUCGAUCAGUAGCUGGUCUGAGAGGAUGAUCAGCCACACUGGGACUGAGACACGGCCCAGACUCCUACGGGAGGCAGCAGUGGGGAAUUUUCCGCAAUGGGCGAAAGCCUGACGGAGCAACGCCGCGUGAGGGAUGAAGGCCUCUGGGCUGUAAACCUCUUUUAUCAAGGAAGAAGAUCUGACGGUACUUGAUGAAUAAGCCACGGCUAAUUCCGUGCCAGCAGCCGCGGUAAUACGGGAGUGGCAAGCGUUAUCCGGAAUUAUUGGGCGUAAAGCGUCCGCAGGCGGCCUGAUAAGUCUGUUGUCAAAGCGUGGAGCUCAACUCCAUUUCGGCAAUGGAAACUGUGAGGCUUGAGUGUGGUAGGGGCAGAGGGAAUUCCCGGUGUAGCGGUGAAAUGCGUAGAUAUCGGGAAGAACACCAGUGGCGAAGGCGCUCUGCUGGGCCAUAACUGACGCUCAUGGACGAAAGCCAGGGGAGCGAAAGGGAUUAGAUACCCCUGUAGUCCUGGCCGUAAACGAUGAACACUAGGUGUCGGGGGAAUCGACCCCCUCGGUGUCGUAGCCAACGCGUUAAGUGUUCCGCCUGGGGAGUACGCACGCAAGUGUGAAACUCAAAGGAAUUGACGGGGGCCCGCACAAGCGGUGGAGUAUGUGGUUUAAUUCGAUGCAACGCGAAGAACCUUACCAGGGUUUGACAUCCUGCGAAUCCCUUGGAAACGAGGGAGUGCCUUCGGGAGCGCAGAGACAGGUGGUGCAUGGCUGUCGUCAGCUCGUGUCGUGAGAUGUUGGGUUAAGUCCCGCAACGAGCGCAACCCACGUCUUUAGUUGCCAGCAUUGAGUUGGGCACUCUAGAGAGACCGCCGGUGAUAAACCGGAGGAAGGUGUGGAUGACGUCAAGUCAUCAUGCCCCUUACAUCCUGGGCUACACGCGUACUACAAUGCUACGGACAAAGGGCAGCAAACUCGCGAGAGCUAGCAAAUCCCAUAAACCGUGGCUCAGUUCAGAUCGUAGGCUGCAACUCGCCUACGUGAAGGAGGAAUCGCUAGUAAUCGCAGGUCAGCAUACUGCGGUGAAUACGUUCCCGGGCCUUGUACACACCGCCCGUCACACCAUGGAAGUUGGCCACGCCCGAAGCCGUUACUCCAACCCUUGUGGAGGAGGACGUCGAAGGUGGGGCUGAUGACUGGGGUGAAGUCGUAACAAGGUA